Molecule: long non-coding RNA, 455 nt
Organism: Hibiscus syriacus
Lineage: Eukaryota; Viridiplantae; Streptophyta; Magnoliopsida; Malvales; Malvaceae
Exons: 3
Source: RefSeq, a predicted model, not a curated record
GGAAUAUCCAUACCAAAGAUGAAAUCACUGCGCCAAAAGUAAACUCAUGGCAGCUGCUUAAAAGGAGAACAAAUCAACAAUAUAUCUUUUUCACUACUCUUCUAUCUGUGUUAACCGAUUCCUUGAAAAGAGGCAUCUGCAAAUCAAGCGCAGCAUUUCUCCCCUUUUUACCAGGAUUUUGAAUGGAGAAUACGGAUGGUUCGCCGGAGGGUCCACCAGUUGUAUUACCAAGAGUCAAACUCAGUGACGGCAGACAUAUAGCUUACACAGAGAGAGGUGUGCCCAAGGCCGAAUCAAACUGCAGGAUCAUCAUUGUUCAUGGCUUUGGAAGCUCCAAAGACAUGAAGUUUCAAGUUCCCCAAGAACUAAUAGAAGAAUUGGUAAUAUAUUUUCUGCUAUAUGAUCGAGCUGGGUAUGGCGAAAGUGAUCCGAAUCCGAAGCGUUCGUGAUAAGUG